RNAcentral lists this ribosomal RNA (498 nucleotides) under uncultured bacterium. RNAcentral describes it as "bacterial SSU rRNA". It matches the Rfam family "Bacterial small subunit ribosomal RNA", at positions 28 to 530 of the family's 1533-position model. The record is from RNAcentral.
GACGAACGCUGGCGGCGUGCCUAAUGCAUGCAAGUCGAGCGGGCUACAGUCUUCGGAUUGUAGCUUAGCGGCGAACGGGUGAGUAACACGUAGGUAAUCUACCCUUCAGAGGAGGACAACCUCAGGAAACUGAGGCUAAACCUCCAUACGUUCAUAUGCAGGGAUGCAGAUGAAGAAAGAGUUACCCGUGAGGGUAGCUGCUGAAGGAUGAGCCUGCGGCCCAUCAGGUAGUUGGUGAGGUAACGGCUCACCAAGCCUAAGACGGGUAACCGGUCUGAGAGGAUGUCCGGUCACACUGGGACUGAGACACGGCCCAGACUCCUACGGGAGGCAGCAGCAGGGAAUCUUCCGCAAUGGGCGCAAGCCUGACGGAGCAACGCCGCGUGGGUGAAGAAGGCCUUCGGGUGUAAAGCCCUGUCUUAUGGGAAGAAGUCAGUGACGGUACCAUAGGAGGAAGCCACGGCUAACGUACGUGCCAGCAGCCGCGGUAAGGCUACG